Molecule: ribosomal RNA, 440 nt
Filed under: uncultured bacterium
Lineage: Bacteria
Description: partial 16S ribosomal RNA
Rfam family: Bacterial small subunit ribosomal RNA
Source: RNAcentral
CCUACGGGAGGCAGCAGUGGGGAAUAUUGCACAAUGGGGGCAACCCUGAUGCAGCGACGCCGCGUGAGUGAAGAAGUAUCUCGGUAUGUAAAGCUCUAUCAGCAGGGAAGAAAAUGACGGUACCUGAAUAUGAAGCCCCGGCUAACUACGUGCCAGCAGCCGCGGUAAUACGGAGGGGGCAAGCGUUAUCCGGAUUUACUGGGUGUAAAGGGAGCGUAGACGGUGGUGCAAGUCCGGAGUGAAAGCCCAUGGCUUAACCAUGGUACUGCUCUGGAAACUGUGGAGCUAGAGAGCAGGAGGGGCAGGCGGAAUGGCUAGUGUAGCGGUGAAAUGCGUAGAGAUUAGGAGGAACACCGGCGGCGAAGGCGGCCUACUGGACCGUAACUGACGUUGAGGCACGAAAGCGUGGGGAGCAAACAGGAUUAGAUACCCGUGUAGUC